This 905-nucleotide long non-coding RNA is filed under the name Rattus norvegicus (Norway rat). RNAcentral's name for it is "long non-coding RNA NONRATT024147". The record is from RNAcentral. Lineage: Eukaryota; Metazoa; Chordata; Mammalia; Rodentia; Muridae.
GCACAGUUUGAUUCUUUUAAAGUGAAACAAAAGUUGGACAACUAUUGAAGUAUAGAAUAUUUUGAAUGUAUUUUUAUACUGCUAAAUGAUCUUAGGUUUACCCCUUCUCUCUCUCUCUCUCUCUCUGUAAACUAUAAACUUACUCCUUGUGAUCACCCUUAAAGGUUCAGCCCGGAGAGGGAAACAAAGCCUCCUUCAAUGACAUGCGUGCUUUGUCCGGCGGCGAGCGCUCUUUUUCCACAGUGUGCUUCAUUCUUUCCCUGUGGUCCAUUGCUGAAUCACCUUUCAGAUGCCUGGAUGAGUUUGAUGUCUACAUGGUAUUGUUAAAAAUUUUAAGUUCUAUAACUUUUAUUUGGUUGGAACAGUUGAAAGAAACCGUCUUCCUUUUGCUUCCCCACAUCAGUUUGUGAUGUCAGUGCAUGGCAGAGCCUGUUGUUCCGUUCUGUCGGUGAUUACUGCGUGCCCUCCUUCAGCUUUCCUCUCCACCAUGUACACCUAGUGUCUGCCUGCCGGGCUCUCCUUCACCCCUUCCCUAGCUUAUAUUCAUGAAAACUCAGGGCUCUUGCUGACUGACGCCUUUGGUUAUGGUCACACUUUCCAAAAAAAGAAAAGAAGGGAGGAAGGAAGGAAGGGAGGGAGGAAGGAAGGAAGGAAGGAAGGAAGGAAGGAAGGAAGGAAGGAAGGAAGGAAGGAAGGGAGCAAAAGUGACAAAGACGCAAGAGCCCUUGCCUUUAAAGGUUAAACAAUGAAAGUUUUGAGACCAAGGGCGGCCACAAGUACUCCAGUGGCUUAGACAUGUCCUCCGGCGUCUCAGUGUUUCUAUGUAGAGAGGAUUCACUACCUCAUUGGAUUACAGUGAGGCACAGGUGACAGUCUGUGUCUAACAUGUGCCAUUACUAUUUUAC